Molecule: transfer RNA, 64 nt
Filed under: Pontoscolex corethrurus
Lineage: Eukaryota; Metazoa; Annelida; Clitellata; Crassiclitellata; Glossoscolecidae
Description: tRNA-Thr
Source: RNAcentral
GAAUUGAAAGCUAAAUUAUUAAGCGCUGAUCUUGUAAGUCAGAAUAAGGAAAUUCCUCAAUUCU